CAACAUGAUGGACCCUAAGGACAUUAUGGCUGGAAAUCUGAUGAGACAGUAGCCCAGCCUCAACCAGAGGUGAAGUGGACACUCUAGGGAUGGUGCAGAAACAAGCUGGAAGCAAGCUGGGGUGGCUGGUGGAGCAGAGCACCCCCACCCCACCCCGCACUAACCAGAGUGUCAGGAAAGAGAGAAAGAAAGCUGACUGACGUGGAGAAACUGAGGCUGAGAGAGAUUAAGCUUCUUGCCUACGGUACCACAGUAAAUAGUGGAAGAGAAGUCCCCAUGAACGGAAGGUGAAGCACUUCCAUUUUGUCCUCACCACAAACGUCUCCAGUGUGUAAAGUCAUUACUCCCAGCUCACAGGAGAAGAAACCCAAGCUUAGGACGGUCAAGGAGCUUGUCCACAGACGCACGGCCAAUGGUCCGACCUGGAGCCUGUGCUCUCAGCCUCUCCCCCAGCUUCCCUCUCUCCUUGAGCUUCUCAAGGCCUUCACUUGCUUAUCUGAAACCUGGGAAGAAAGCUGGCACCUUCUUCCCUCCGGUGGCCUGCGGCUCAGCCGGCGGGAUGCGCUGUUGGCUGUGAGCGGCCUUGCAGAGACGGGGGCAUCCUCCCUGCUGUGGCUUCGAGGGCAGCGUCAUCACAAAGGCCCUUAGCACGGACGCUUGAGAAAGGCUGAUUCCAGCGCGAAGUGAGGACAGUCUCUCCACAGCAAGUGCUCCUGAGAGAGCUGGGCUCCCUCUGAGGUGGGAAGCCG
This 749-nucleotide long non-coding RNA is filed under the name Equus asinus (donkey). Its description in RNAcentral is "lncRNA (ENSEASG00005037769.1)". The record is from RNAcentral. Lineage: Eukaryota; Metazoa; Chordata; Mammalia; Perissodactyla; Equidae.